This 253-nucleotide ribosomal RNA is filed under the name uncultured bacterium. RNAcentral's name for it is "partial 16S ribosomal RNA". It matches the Rfam family "Bacterial small subunit ribosomal RNA", at positions 524 to 776 of the family's 1533-position model. The record is from RNAcentral.
GACGAAGGGGGCUAGCGUUGUUCGGAAUUACUGGGCGUAAAGCGAGUGUAGGUGGUUGUCCAAGUUGGAUGUGAAAGCCUUGAGCUCAACUCAAGAAAUGCAUUCAGGACUGGGCGACUAGAGGACCGGAGAGGAUAGUGGAAUUCCCAGUGUAGUGGUGAAAUACGUAGAGAUUGGGAAGAACACCAGUGGUGAAGGCGGCUAUCUGGACGGUUUCUGACACUAAGACUCGAAAGCGUGGGGAGCAAACAGG